Macaca mulatta (Rhesus monkey) is the source of this 1585-nucleotide long non-coding RNA. RefSeq lists it as uncharacterized. The record is from RefSeq and is a predicted model, not a curated record. NCBI's taxonomy places the organism in Eukaryota, Metazoa, Chordata, Mammalia, Primates, Cercopithecidae.
UCUGGCGGCUCAGAGUCCGAAGCUCCGAGGUUGUGCCUUCAGCUCUCUCACCUGCUGCGGUGGCUGUCUUGGUCACACAAGAGGACAGUCAAUAAGGGGCUAAAAAAAUGGGAAGAACUGAUUCGUGAAAAGCCAUGGAGGAAACUUAAAUGCAUAUGACUAAAUGAAAGAAGUGAGUCUGAAAGACUACAUGCAGAAUGAUUCCAGCUAGAUGACAUUCUGGAAAAGGGAAAGCUUCAGCUCUCCUGGCCCGCCCCGUGCUGAUAACGUCCAGAAAGAAGACAGCCUCUGUGGUUCUUGCCUGAGCCACGCAUCCUGGUGGCCUUUGGAAAAUGCCAGGCGGUCCCUGAGUUGACUAAAAGCUUCCAUGAGUGGUUAUGGAGAUAAGAUGCUUCCCCCAGUGCCUUUCUAAGAAUGGUGCUUGUAGCACUGGCCCUCACGGCUCCUUGCAAAAGUAAACACCUCAACCGCCCACCACCAAAUCUAUGGUGUUUCUGGUAUCUGCACCCACCUCACUUCUUCCUGCAUUGAUGGAGAGAAUGCUCCUUCCCUCAGUCAACAGCCAGGCCCUCUUCCUAUUUUCUGGAAACCUCUGCCCUCCACCGCUCAAUGGCUGUACCUUCUGCUGACCCUUCCUUUUCCAGAAAACUCAAUCUGUCCUCAGUGGGUCAUUUCUUUGACACACGGACUUGCUUCAUCUACUCUAGUGAGUCACAGACCUUCUUCUGUCUUGCGCACCACCUGUCACCCCUGCCUGUGCCAGGCUUCUCUCCACAGCACAGCCCACGCAAGCUCGGCCUCACCUCCUCACAGCCACACCCUCUGUUCGCUCCUCCAGCCUCUUGGUCUGGCUCCACCACCGCCCGUCACGUCCAGCUCUCUGCAGGAUGCUGGUUACUUCCAAUUCAAUGAUCGCUUUUUUCUUCUGCUUUUCCUCAGUUUUUAAAAAUUGAUACCUAAUAUUUGUACAUAUUUAUCUGACCAUGUGAUAUUCGGUUACAUGCAUAGAAGGUGUAAUAAUCAAGCCAGGGUACUUGGGGUGUCCAUCGGCCCUGUGUUUACCAUUCCUAUGUGGUGGGAACAUCUGAAGCCCUUCCCUGUAGUUAUUUUGAAAUAUGCCACACCUUGUUAUUAACUAUAGUUGCCCUUCUCUGCUCUCAAACGCUAGAACAUCUUCCUUCUAAUUGCAUGUUUCAGUCACUUGUGGGUCAUCGAAGCUCAGCGACAUUGCAUGCAACCAUCUCGCUUCCUACUCCUUGAAGCUCUCCUCUGCUUCAGUCUCCAGGCCCCCAAUUUCCUGGUCUUCCCUCCCCUGCCCAGCCGCUCCCGUGCCAGGUACCUUGCUGGGCCUCCCUUUCCUUCCAGUCUCUGUGCAGAAUUUCCUCCAGGUCAUUCCUGGCUCCUCCUCUCCUCUCACUCCAACACCUUCCUGGAGAUAAGAUCAUUCAUUCUCAUGACUUUGUAUGUUUUAUGUUAAACAGACCCAAAUGUAUAUCUCCAACCCAAACCUGAGCUCCAGACUCAUGUAUCUUACUGUGUGCCUGUACCUCUACUCAGAAAUUGAAUUUUUGGGCUGAAGUUUGAA